Molecule: long non-coding RNA, 846 nt
Organism: Carassius carassius (crucian carp)
Lineage: Eukaryota; Metazoa; Chordata; Actinopteri; Cypriniformes; Cyprinidae
Exons: 3
Source: RefSeq, a predicted model, not a curated record
CGGUGCACCCAGGACGCGAUCCUCCCAGAUGUCCUUCACUCCGGCGAUGUGACACCACGGACCCUGUGUGCAUCCACAGCGAAGGUCGCGAGCCAGGCCCCGGGCAACGACUUCUCCCCCUCCUGCCUUCGAGAUCUCCAUCUGGAACCGAUUCGUUCCCCUCCGCGAGACAGAGCGUGGAGCUGUGAUCGUCGGAGACUCCAUCGUCCGACACGUCGGUUCUACGUUAGCCGAAGGUAAAGUGCACACUCACUGUUUCCCUGGUGCUCGUGUUCUCAUUGUUUCUGCGCAGAUACCCACGAUCCUGAAGGCCGACGAGAGCCCCAGAGCGGUUGUGCUUCACACCGGGGUUAACGACACCAUGCUGCGGCAGACGGAGACUGAAGAGGGACUUCAGGAGCCUGAUGAAGACGGUUCGCAGCACGACACCCGUCAUCAUGUCAGGACCACUUCCCACGUAUCAACAUGUACACGAAAGACUUCUCUCUGACAACAUCUCCAGGACACUUUGCUCCAUAUGACUAUCUGGAUCCAGAACACCUGAUAAGAGAUGAUGCGGACCCCUCAGAGGACCCCAGAUGAUGCUAACCCUGAAACAUCAUACAGAACUAACAAAUAUUGCUACUUACUAUGCAGUCACAUUAUAAUUGCUGUCAAUAGUGUUCAUCAUCUGGUUGACUGUCUUGUAUUAAUUUUUCUGAAAAUUCCUUUCAUAUGCACAUAAACUGACAGUCACCACUUAUAAGCUACUACUGAAUAUUGUAGAAACUUAAUUUUCUGUAAAGUUGCUUUGCAGUGAUUUGUAUCGUAAAAAGCGCUAUAUAAAUAAACUUGAAUUGAAUUGAA